UCGGGCGUGGUGCACGGCGCACACCAGCUUCAUUUGAGGUGUAAAAAGAAAAACCACUGUGAUGCUGGAGGACCGGGUUCGACUCCCGGCGUUCGAG
This is a non-coding RNA of Mycena polygramma, 97 nucleotides long. NCBI's taxonomy places the organism in Eukaryota, Fungi, Basidiomycota, Agaricomycetes, Agaricales, Mycenaceae. The record is from the annotation of a GenBank genome assembly.